CUGCCAGUAGUCAUAUGCUUGUCUCAAAGAUUAAGCCAUGCAUGUCUCAGUACAAGCCAAAUUAAGGUGAAACCGCGAAAGGCUCAUUAAAUCAGUUAUGGUUCCUUAGAUCGUACCCACAAUUACUUGGAUAACUGUGGUAAUUCUAGAGCUAAUACAUGCAAACAGAGCUCCGACCGGAGACGGAAGGAGUGCUUUUAUUAGAUCAAAACCAAUCGGUGGCGGGUUCGCGCUCGUCAUCGUACAACUUGGUGACUCUGAAUAACUUUACGCUGAUCGCACGGUCUCGCACCGGCGACGCAUCUUUCAAAUGUCUGCCUUAUCAACUGUCGAUGGUAGGUUCUGCGCCUACCAUGGUUGUAACGGGUAACGGGGAAUCAGGGUUCGAUUCCGGAGAGGGAGCCUGAGAAACGGCUACCACAUCCAAGGAAGGCAGCAGGCGCGCAAAUUACCCACUCCCGGCACGGGGAGGUAGUGACGAAAAAUAACGAUACGGGACUCAUCCGAGGCCCCGUAAUCGGAAUGAGUACACUCUAAACCCUUUAACGAGGAUCAAUUGGAGGGCAAGUCUGGUGCCAGCAGCCGCGGUAAUUCCAGCUCCAAUAGCGUAUAUUAAAGU
This 619-nucleotide ribosomal RNA is filed under the name Amisallus sp. 1 MVD-2017. RNAcentral's name for it is "SSU rRNA". It matches the Rfam family "Eukaryotic small subunit ribosomal RNA", at positions 14 to 610 of the family's 1831-position model. The record is from RNAcentral. Lineage: Eukaryota; Metazoa; Arthropoda; Insecta; Coleoptera; Curculionidae.